RNAcentral lists this transfer RNA (90 nucleotides) under Hafnia psychrotolerans. RNAcentral's name for it is "tRNA-Met". The record is from RNAcentral. Lineage: Bacteria; Pseudomonadati; Pseudomonadota; Gammaproteobacteria; Enterobacterales; Hafniaceae.
UACCCGACUGGGUGGGCAACUGGCGGCCGCAUCUGCCGCUGGUGGUGCGUCGUGACCGGCGUGACGAGGGUUCCAUUCCGGUCGGGGUAC